CCCUUAGAUGUUCUGGGCCGCACGCGCGCUACACUGUUCGACGCAGCGAGUCUUAACCUUGACCGAAAGGUUUGGGUAAUCUUCAGCAAAGUCGAACGUGAUGGGGAUCGAUCAUUGCAAUUAUUGAUCGUGAACGAGGAAUUCCUAGUAAGUGCAAGUCAUCAGCUUGCGCUGAUUACGUCCCUGCCCUUUGUACACACCGCCCGUCGCUACUACCGAUUGAAUGGUCUAGUGAGAUCUCUGGAUUGACGCUGGCUAGGGGGCGACCCUUGGCCAGGCUGUCGAGAAACUGCUCAAACUUGAUCAUUUAGAGGAAGUAAAAGUCGUAACA
This 331-nucleotide ribosomal RNA is filed under the name uncultured eukaryote. RNAcentral's name for it is "partial 18S ribosomal RNA". It matches the Rfam family "Eukaryotic small subunit ribosomal RNA", at positions 1470 to 1796 of the family's 1831-position model. The record is from RNAcentral.